AUCAGAAUCUCUCCAGAAGCAUUUGAAGAAUACAGAUUCCGGCGAGCCCACUAGACGUUCCGAUUCCAUAGCUGGAGGCUUGGGAUUGAGAAUCUGAAUUCUAAAGACCCCACCAGGUGACCCAGCCGUGUGUGAUAGAGAAACUGUGCGAUGGGUCCCGGUGUGGGUUUGCGGCACGGUUGCGCCCCUCAUCGUGUGACUUGGCGGAUCACGUCUCCUCCUGGGACCAUUUCUCUUCCAAGCUGUGGCUUCAGGGCAGUGCUGUGGCUACUGCACAGCCAGAAGGCGUCUCCUCCUCCUCCUCGAAAGAUCCUUUCCAUCUUCACAGCAGUGCAGCUCUGUCUGCGUGGCCGGCUCCAGUUUAAAGGGAGAAAGAAUCGAGUCCCCUUGCUGUGGAAGCAGUGGCCCUUUUUUUUUUUGUCAUCGGAAGAAGGAAGAUUUUCCUGCUCCAAUCUAAUGUCAAAAUUCCUCUCGGCCGUCUAUUUUCCUGGUGGCAAGGACCUGACUGGCUUGUACGGCAAUCACUGGGUUCAAGCUGAGAUGAAGUCCGAAGAAGUCUUGCUUGAUGGACCACGUGGCUUACAGAGAAAAAGUCUGUUUGUAAGAGAGCUUUCGCUGGCCCUGCUCAGACCCUGGUCGUCCCCAGCGGCUGGGGAUUAAAAAGCAAGAGAUAGCCCUGCCUGCUUGUCCUUGUUUACCUGUGCUCCAGACCGAAGUCACCGGGACCGCAAAGUGCCAAGCAUUCAGAUCAAAAUGCCUUCCUUUUCCCCUCCUGGCUAAAGGACAUUUACACAAAGAGCUGGGACCACGAGCUGUUUGGAUGGUUUGCCCUCUCCCACCCCCUCCCCACCAAAUCCUCGUCCUACGCUUUUACGGGAAGUAGCUUAGAGCAGAGCUCACAGGCCUCCGGCUCCAAAUCUAAACCUUGAAAAGGAUACAUGUUUUGUUUACGCAACCAUGGCAGAGCAUUCAGAACAGGUCUGGAGGCCAC
This 991-nucleotide long non-coding RNA is filed under the name Equus caballus (horse). RNAcentral's name for it is "lncRNA (ENSECAG00000038889.2)". The record is from RNAcentral. Lineage: Eukaryota; Metazoa; Chordata; Mammalia; Perissodactyla; Equidae.